GAAAGGUUACACUAAUGGAAUCUCAUCAGCUUCGGAGCUAAAAACCGAUUCCGAAAUAUCUUCUCGUCGGAGCGGAAAAACGCCGCCGCGGCCUGAAUCUACUCUACCGGAGACCCUCAUUUCUCGCCGGCGUAUAGAUUUCAGCUCAUUUACAGGCAAAAUCUGAGGUAUACUUAUCCAAAACCCUAGAUUUCUCGGAGUCUCCCUUGGGAGACUGAAAUAGUUAGCAAACAUGAGGAUUAUGAUAAAGGGAGGAGUAUGGAAGAACACGGAGGAUGAGAUU
Molecule: unclassified non-coding RNA, 283 nt
Filed under: Hevea brasiliensis (rubber tree)
Lineage: Eukaryota; Viridiplantae; Streptophyta; Magnoliopsida; Malpighiales; Euphorbiaceae
Source: RNAcentral